CAGUGUCAUGUCACAAUUAAAGGUGGGGCCUCUGGAGCCAGUCUUCCCAAGGUGAAAUCCUAACUUUGCCACUUACUAGCCAUGUGAACUUGGGCAAGUGACCUAAUCCUCUGCAUUUCAUCUCUAAAUUGGGGAGAAUAGAAGCAUCUACUUCAUGUAGUAGCCAGGAUUAGAAGAGGGAGGAAUAACUGGGCCCUGGAUAGAAUGUGAUGAAUGAAUAUUCUUAAUGAGAAGUGGAAAUAAUUUGUGGUUGAGAGCUGUGCCUCAGAUCAGAGUGACAGGAUACAUGGCUAGGCUAUAUUUUCCAGCAGAUUAAGAGCUGCAGCCCAAGACUCUGAAAUAUGAAGAAAAAAGGAGAAGAUGACAGCAUAUCUUUUUAAAGAAAUAUUUUCCAGCCAAAUGGUGCAGCAGAGGACUUCCAGGAAUUUGUUCUUGUUCUGUAUCAAAGGUGAAGAGUUCGUAGCCUUCAAGGAAACAAGAAACCAUGGGAUGGAGUGAAGGAAGGUGGCCUGGAACCAGCUGCUGAGCCUCUCUGAGCCCCAGUUUCCUCAUCUCUAAAAUGGGGCUGAUCUCCUCUCCCUCAGACUGUUGUUGCAGGAAUUAAAACAGGUGUUGAGUGGGAAAGCAUCAGUCCCAUAGCAAAUGGCCCCUGAGUAGUAGGAUCUGAGUUCUGGUUCUGGUCCUGCUGGGGUAUGGCUGGUUGAGAGGUCAAAGAGGUAAUUAAAAGGAUUGCCAGCUUCAUUAUUGGGAGCUGAGAUUCCAUUUUAGACCAAGA
Pan troglodytes (chimpanzee) is the source of this 775-nucleotide long non-coding RNA. RefSeq lists it as uncharacterized. The record is from RefSeq and is a predicted model, not a curated record. NCBI's taxonomy places the organism in Eukaryota, Metazoa, Chordata, Mammalia, Primates, Hominidae. The transcript is spliced from 2 exons.